Acanthochromis polyacanthus (spiny chromis) is the source of this 697-nucleotide long non-coding RNA. RefSeq lists it as uncharacterized. NCBI's taxonomy places the organism in Eukaryota, Metazoa, Chordata, Actinopteri, Pomacentridae. The transcript has 3 exons. The record is from RefSeq and is a predicted model, not a curated record.
AACUAAAAUGUUAGCUAACCCCCUAAUUCAUUUCACCCAAUAAAUAAAACCACAAGCUCAGCCGUGAAACAGAAACUACAGCUAAUCUUUAAAUUAAAAAAAACCCCAAGUGAAACUAAUUUUCUAAAUGUUAGAUGGUUCCAAACCGAUAUGUUUAAUCUAUAAACAUGUUAGCAAACCUAAACAAGAGUGUUUUAUGACAUCAAAGUAAACUGCAAAUCUUUUCCUGUGACAUCUGAAUAUUGAUCAUAAUGAGCAGAAUACGAGCUAAGAAGCAGCUUUUCUAGGAUCCACAGCUUUAAACAGCUACUUUACUAAGCUUAGAGUUUAAAAAUUGGUGUUUUCUUGUGUUUGCUGAUUGGUCUGUCAUGUUUACUGUUGGGAGUCUGUCAACACGGAGCAGAUAAUGAUUGAUGGAGGACGUCAUUGUGACCACUGGAGUCUGUUCGACAACAACAGAAGGAGAAUAUUAGUUUAUUUUGUUUUACUUUGGACUAAAGCAGGCGGAUGAUGUUUGUCAGGAUGGUUUCAGUUUCUCUCCUGUUGCUGUUGCUGUCCGUCCUGUUUUCAGCUCAAAGUUUCGCUGUAAAGACGGACGAGUUUCUCGGCCCUCCAGAGUGUCUGGAAAACAGGUUUACUCGUGAAUUGUGUGACUUGGUGUUCUGUCCUCCAUGGCAGCGCUGCUUCAACGGACUCC